This 497-nucleotide ribosomal RNA is filed under the name uncultured bacterium. Its description in RNAcentral is "partial 16S ribosomal RNA". It matches the Rfam family "Bacterial small subunit ribosomal RNA", at positions 28 to 507 of the family's 1533-position model. The record is from RNAcentral.
GACGAACGCUGGCGGCGUGCCUAAUACAUGCAAGUUGAGCGAUGAAGAUUGGUGCUUGCACCAAUUUGAAGAGCAGCGAACGGGUGAGUAACGCGUGGGGAAUCUGCCUUUGAGCGGGGGACAACAUUUGGAAACGAAUGCUAAUACCGCAUAACAACUUUAAACAUAAGUUUUAAGUUUGAAAGAUGCAAUUGCAUCACUCAAAGAUGAUCCCGCGUUGUAUUAGCUAGUUGGUGAGGUAAAGGCUCACCAAGGCGAUGAUACAUAGCCGACCUGAGAGGGUGAUCGGCCACAUUGGGACUGAGACACGGCCCAAACUCCUACGGGAGGCAGCAGUAGGGAAUCUUCGGCAAUGGACGAAAGUCUGACCGAGCAACGCCGCGUGAGUGAAGAAGGUUGUCGGAUCGUAAAACUCUGUCGGUAGAGAAGAACGUUGGUGAGAGUGGAAAGCUCAUCAAGUGACGGUAACUACCCAGAAAGGGACGGCUAACUACGUG